AUCAACACGUAACCAUAAUAUUAAGAAGAGUCAACAGAAACAAUCUCUCUAAGCCAAGAGGGGAACUCUGUCGUCCAACAGACGGCCCCAGAGCAACGACAAGAAAAUUUCGCUAAACUAUGAGCAGCAGUAUUAGCGUCACGAAACACAUGUUUCACAUCAAUAAGGAAGGUUUGCCUCGCAGCUUGAACAAUCUCUUUUAAAUCAUCGGGCAAACAUCGAGAAUCCUCAUCUUCACUCACCAUGACUCGCGCCGCAAGAAUCGAAUCCGUGUAAAUUUCCACCGGCGAGAUAUCAUUCUCCACACAAACGACGAUCCCUUGUAUAAUAUUUAUGUAUUUAUACUACAACUUUAUAUAAACAUGGCGAUAAUGUUUAUGUAUUUAUACUACAACUUUAUAUAGC
This 405-nucleotide long non-coding RNA is filed under the name Salvia miltiorrhiza (redroot sage). RNAcentral's name for it is "long non-coding RNA (SMIL_LNC002384)". The record is from RNAcentral. Lineage: Eukaryota; Viridiplantae; Streptophyta; Magnoliopsida; Lamiales; Lamiaceae.